UUUAAAGGCCGCUCCAUAAGGGACCUGAACCCAAGACCUUUGGCUUUAGACAUUAACCCUUUACCGCUUGACCAACACAUGCACACUAAAAUUUGAGAUUUUUGUCAUCGAAUAGAGAUAGCAUGUGAUUGUCUCUCAUGAUUGUGUGACUACAUAACUUUAUUAUUAAUUAUUAAGUACAAUAAACUAAAUAACAAUAAUGAAAUAAUUUUGAUCUGCUAGCUUUUGAAAAGCAAAAUCAUCAAUAACAUUUUUAAGAUCAAGUUUACCAUCCCUAAAUAAUGUGUUUUCAAUAUCUCAUUUUCAAUGCACAAAAUUGUUAGCACAUUUAAUAUAUCUUUCUUCAGACAUAGUAAUCGGCAAAUGUGAAUUUAUCAAUUUUAAUUUACAAAAAAUAUUUCUAUUCACACUACAAUAACUGGUAUACUUAACAAUAUCCUACAUGCAUUUGAAACAUUAAAUUAACAAUAUGAUGUUUUGACAAACUCAAAAACUUCUACAAUUAACUUUAUUUUCUUAUGAUAAGUAUAACACAUUUGUAUCACUUAUAAUUUUAAAAUAAAUCUUUAAUAUCAAUAUCAAAUAAUAUUUAUUUAAUAAAUUUAAAAUUAAUAAAUUUAAAAUUAAUAAAUAAUACUAACUUAUAAUUUUUUUUAAGUAAAAUACUACUACUAGAACUAAUUUUAAAUUUGGGGGCCCCUCAAAUUUGGGGGCCCUAGGCCUUUGCCCCAUUUGAAUUGAAGAAGGGCCGGCCCUG
This 757-nucleotide long non-coding RNA is filed under the name Salvia miltiorrhiza (redroot sage). RNAcentral describes it as "long non-coding RNA (SMIL_LNC001931)". Lineage: Eukaryota; Viridiplantae; Streptophyta; Magnoliopsida; Lamiales; Lamiaceae. The record is from RNAcentral.